This is a non-coding RNA of Xyrichtys novacula (pearly razorfish), 35326 nucleotides long. NCBI's taxonomy places the organism in Eukaryota, Metazoa, Chordata, Actinopteri, Labriformes, Labridae. The record is from the annotation of a GenBank genome assembly.
AUGUGACCUCUAAAAACGACAGAAGUUAUGCAGGGACAAAGAGCAGAAGACAGAGGUAAGGAUAUAAAUAUAAAGAGAGCGUCCCCAGAGGGUGACGUACUGUACAACAUUCACUUUCCUGCUGUAACCCAGUGUCUCCCCUUUUUGACCCCCUGGAAUACUGGAUCUCAUAAAGGCUGCAUAUAUUUAAAGCAUGUGAUCUGGUCCUUUUAGAUGCUUGCACUGCAGCCUCACUGAUUUAUGAGCUAAGGUUUCAACCCUCACUUGUGUGUAUGCGCAGGUGUGUUUAUGCAAUUCUUUGCUUUUGUGCAUAUUGGUAAGCCUUUAGCUGUUGUUAAUGCAUGCCUUUGUGUGUGGGUGUGGGUGUCAGCUCUGACCUUGACCGGGCAGCAUAUCAUUUCUAAGCACCGGUGGCCCGUGUUAACCUUUGCUACAAUCUACAGCUUUACUCUGUGUGUGGUCAGGCACAGACAACUGGGCAGACAAUCGGUGUGUGUGAGUGAGUGAGUGAGUGUGUGUGUGUCUAGUACGGUGGACAGACUGAAGGAAUAAAAGGGGUAUUUAUCAGAUUUAUUGUGCAGCACUGUGUAGAGGCAAGUACACUCAGACUUGUGCCAUAAUUAAAUUGUAGACAUCAUAAACUUGAAUUUGCUCUCGUCCAUAGAUCCAUAAAUUUGACGCCCAGUUCUUGUAGUCAAAAUAUCAACACACCUCUUUAGGUGAUGUUACUGCGUUUGUUGUCUUACUCUCAUGAGCUAUUAUGACAGAUCUAAGUGUCUGGCAUUGAUGUGGUCUGGCGUUGCUGUAGUUAGUCAAUGUGUGUACAGGCAGCAGAUGCUGUCUCCAUAAUGAUCCAAGUCUAGCUCUAAUGAGCAGCACACCCUAAUUGAUUACAAUCAGCACCAAUGAGACAAAUCAACCCAUCACAACCCGAGUGCCAGCCCCCUUUUACUCCCUCCGCCUGUUUUGAAUCCCCUCCAAGUAAACAAAAGUAGAAAGGAGAGGCAGAGGCAGUGAGCAGGUGGAGACAAAAGGUACAAAGAGGUGCACAGAUGGAAAGAGAAUGAGGGGAAAAAGCUAAUGAGAAAAGGAUGAUCGCUGUGAAAACACACAUGGUGGGAUAAAAAGGGACAGGAACAAUAUUUCAAGCUCGGAUUAUGUCAGAUUCAUUCUUGGCAACUGCACCCAUAAAGCAUAACCAAACUUAAAGAGGAAUGGAGAUGACAGGUUGAAACAAUAGAGGAGUUCAAAAGAAGGAGGAGGGGGGGAAACAGAUGGAACGACAAAGGUGUAUUUAAAUACAUGAAUGGUUUCAAAUUCAUAAAGGCGUAAUCAGAAGCAAGAGAGGGAGAAAAAGAACAGUUUUCACUGGAGGGAUAAAAACAAAGUGUAAAGGGAAUGUCACAAGGCUUAGGGGUCGUGAUAGUAGUAUCAAAAUAAUACUUAUUGUUUCAUUCAUAUAUUUGUUUCAUGAAAACAAAAACAUCAAUUCUCUGUUAUUCUAGGUGGUUUUUUUUCUGUAUUUUAAAAUUGAAUGAUAUUUAGUUUAAUUGGUUUUUACAUCCCCCAUACUGUUUAAACAUAAUUCGAAAUGUGCAUUCUUAUCUACAGAACUUACCAAAACCAAAUAAAUAAUAAGUGAGCACCCAGAGAUAAUCAAAUAUCCCCAUUCCUGUACCUUGUGGAAAUUGUAUCUUUUGUAGCUUUUUUUAAAACAGUUUUUAUAUUUACACACCUCCCGAGUUCCUCAUUAAACUGUUCCAGAGCUUCACCUCACAAACAGAAACACAGAAACUUUUCCUGGUAGUGUGCACCCUGACAGUUUUGAAAUUAAGUAAUCCCCUUAAAUCAUAACAAACCGCCCUAUCAGCGAACAUUUUUUGAAUUUUUUCCAAGUAGCGAUUUAGUUUUUGCUUUAAAAACAUGAUAAAUGCUGUCUGAAAGUUUAUCAAAUCUGCAAGUUUGUAUGUUUUUGACUGCAAGAAUAAUACAUUUCAUAUGGUCCUGAUUCCCAACACUGUGAAUGAUCUGUAAAGCUCCUUUUUUGCUGAAAAAUAGCAAAUUUAGUGUGUUUUGGUAGUUAUUGCCCCAAACCUUUGAGUGGUAACUGAAACUAGAGCAACAGAGAAUAUGGAGUGAUUUAAGAUGUAGAACCUGUGUAACCUUUUUUAACACUGCUAUGUCCUUGACAUUUUGCAUUGUAAAUGAUUAAUAUGUGAUUCUAGUUUUUCAUCUAUUGUAGCCCCAAGAAAUUUUAUUUUAUGACAUCUACUGUAUGUUGACUCAUUCCUUUUGUAUUUAAUCCAUAGUUUCCCAAAACAUUAGUUUUGUUUUGUCCAAGCUGAAGGACUAACUGUUAACUGUUGAACCAUGUCUUUCAUUUGCUAAUUUCUGAGGUGACUUCCUCCAGAAAAUUAUUCAGUUUACCACUAGAACAAAACAUGUUUGAGUCAUCUACAAACAAAACAAGUUACAGUACAUUUUAUACUUUACAUAAAUCAUAAAUAUAUCACAUGAAUAAUUUAGUUCCCAGCACUGACCCCUGGGGAACACCUCAAACAAUUUCCAAACAUGGUGAGCAACAAUCUCCCAACUUCACAAACAGUUUUUUUUUUGUUUUCAAAGUAACUCUUGAUCCAGUUCAACACAACACCCCUGAUGCCAAACUGUUCCCAGUACAUAAACCAGUAAACUAUGGUUCAUUGUGUCGAAGGCCGAUGAAUAUCCCAUCUGCAUGAUUUUCCUGGUCUAUAGAGUUUGUGAUUCCUUUGAUAAAUGAUAAAUUGCAGAUAUACAGUAUGUUGAUGGUUUUAUGAUUCUGUCUGUGACUUUUUGUCUACGUAUCAAUGUCACUGAGAAUCAAAAGACUUUUUGUUUUUUUGCAUUUCAUAACAAUAUCAACAAUUUCCUUUGCAUAUAUUGCUGUGAGGAAUAUGGAGCCCAAAUUUAUAUUAAUGAUUUUUUUCCAGAUUUUCAGCUGUCCUCCAAUCAGGGACUUUUCAUGCUAGGUCAGGUCCGACAAUAACCAAUAAAUAAAUAGAUAAACAAACUGAUAAAGUUACUCCAUGUUACUUAUAAAGUACUAACUCAUUCGUAUUGACCCAGUUUUGAUAAUGCUGUUCAGCGUGUUCCAUAAUCCUUCAAUUUCACUUUUGUUAUUGUCUGAGAUCUUCUUAUCCACUUUUUCUCUAGUCCCUCUAAUCCUGGUUUACUUAUUUUCAUGGUUUUUAUAUUUAUUUUCUGCCUCUUCUGUUCUCUGCUUUAAAAACUCUGUAUUGUGGGUUUUUUCCUCUUUGCAGGCAUUUGUAGACCCUUAGUGAUCCAUGGACAUUCUGAAAAGUCACGUUUUCUGCAGUAUUUCAUGAUUUGACAGUUUUUUACCCCCUCUCUCUACCAUACACCUUUUCCCAUCUUCUUUGAUCAUCUUUUCCACCUUCCUUUGACUUCUUCUAUUUCUGUGACUUCCCAUCUCAGCACACUGAGCUGACAUAUGGUUUUUGAAAAGUGUCUCCUUGAGUAAAUAUAUGAUGAAUGUGUUGUGUGUGAUCAUUUUACCCCUCUGACUAUAAAACUCAGCUGCUCUGAGUGAAUCAAGACUUGGCACACUCAUGCCCCCAAACAUCCACACAUACAGUGACUUUUUUUUUUUGAGAUCCUGACUUGUUCAUCAAAGUACACGGUUGCCUCAGCACUUUUUUGGUCUCGGUGUACAUAUUUUUUCCUCUCCCAACCUUUAGCUGACAUUUCUGGAGACAAUCAGUUGCUGAGUGGAAAAUCCUUUUUUCCUUGGGGAGGAAGGUGGCGUUUGAAUCCUUUAAUUACAAUGCUAUUUUAGCUGGCAUUGUGCACACAGGGACAAAGUUCUAAACUUGUUAUGAAUAAGGAGGAUGUUAAUCUUAAUGCCACUACAGUUUAUGGCCUGCAAAGCCAAACAAGGCCAUCAGGAAUAAGAUAUUUCUGCAGGUCAGAGAAAGCAAUGGCUUUUCGGUCAAAAGUGUCUUGUUUUACAAUCUCUAGAAGAGUAAAUAAUGAGUAAUUAAGUGAAGUUAAUCAACACAGAAGCUCAUCACUCCACAUGGCCUAAAGUGAUUUGGCUUUGUAUCUAACAAAUCUGAUUGAGGUAACAAUAGUCUUGUAUUUGAAGCACCCUUAAAAGUGGGGUAGGCAGGGUUCUGAUAAAGAAGCACCUUUUUUGUGGUGUAUACACAAAAAAGCUUUUAAUAUCAGUCAAUAGCCAUUAGUUAUUGAUGACAUUUGGGAAUAUCACAAUAUCGCUGUGUCUGUGUAGUCAACAUUUUAAAUUUUUUGAGCGGCCCGUUCUUUCUAAUUGUAAACAAAGCCGUUCUCUGCCUCCGCCAACCUGAUUGGUAGUGAGGCAGAUUCUGCUCUUUAGUGCUGAUUGGUUGUGAGGCAGACGUUGUUCCCCCCGUGUGGUUCACGAGUCCAGACAAAGUUAACAUGCUACAAUAUCGGACAGUAGAAACCAGCCAGAAAGUGAAAUUGUUUUCUUGCUUGUGUUGGCAGUCGUGGCCAAAGGAGGAUUCUGACAAAGUAAAUACUGGAGACUCUGGCGGAAUAACGAGCACUUAAAAAGGAGGUAGACUGGACAAGAGCUAAAAAGCAGGGUCAACGUAAAUGAUUAAAUGAUGGGGGAGGCUUUGGGAUCUUAUGGACCCUGUAACCUUUCUGCUGGACAGGUAAACCGCUUUAACAAAGUAAGUCAAGUGUCUGGAAGUGUUUCUUUUGAACGGGACCUGCUGCGUGUUGUAGCGCCCGGGUCAAGUCCUGGACUAUGUCACUUUAUCCUAGUUGUAGAAGUCCUGCAAACAUUGUGUUUGCUGGUAGUCUGUUGGCAUCUACAGUAGCACCAGUGCUUUUUACUUUCACAUUAAAUGGGCCCCAUUUUCAAUUAUCUGAAGUAUUUAUCUGCAUUAUAUCUGAAUUUAAUUGGAACGAUAGGAGUGGAGACAAGCGUCUGUUUAUGGAUGGGGCUUGCUUGAGCAGAGACUGAGGGGAGAGGAGGAGCUGAGGGGAAAACUGGUUUGGGAGGGAUAGUGUUUACAUUCAAGAUUUCUCCCCAAAACUGGCACUUCCUCAGAUCCUGCCUACCCCACCUUUGAGGGGGUUUUGCAUUGUCCAUCUUUAUUUUUUUUCCCCCUGGCCUCCCUCAGUCUCUCUGUGUUGUCUUCCUCAGUCUCUCUGUGUUUUCUUCCUCAGCACACUCUAGAGCGUCUAGGAAGGGACUUUGAUGUAGUUGACAGCUCAGUAAUAAGGAUGCUUUUAUGCAUCUGAUUUGAGCCUCCAUUAUGAAAUAAAGACAUUUUGGGUCAUGUUUGUUGACAUCAUUCAGCUACGCGACUGCGGCUGAUUAAUGGAUGGGAUGCUGGCAGCUUUAAACAUUCAUAAAGUUCAAGCCUCGACUGUAGAAAAUGAUCUAUAACUAAUCCCCUCUCGAUAAAGCUUGCUUUAAGGGGGGCUUUAAGAUGCCUUCCCAUCUUCUCUAAUCAUGACUCUCUCUCUUUUAUUGCAUUCCCCCCUCUUCAAGGUCUUUAUCUGCAUUGGUUUUUCUAAGUCUCACUCAUAAGAAAUCUGAUUUAUGACAGUCUUGCUCUAUUUGCUCACUCUCCUUCCACAGCACACUUUGCUUUGUCAUGUUUUCUUCCCCCGUCUCUCUACAUGAACAGGAGGUAAGAUAAAAACGCAGACUAAACAACCCUCUUCAUGCUCAUACACACAAAUCCUAUAGAUAUGCUAAGUUGAUCAUAUUUAGGUACUGCUGAGUGCUUUUGCAUCACCAGUCUGCGUUUAAAGUAUGUCCAUCUAUUUAAGUGUCUCAUUUGAACCCAAACUCUGUCCCAUGCAUCUUUGCUGAACUCCACAGCCUGCAUUGUAAUGCACUCUGACAAUAAACAAGAUUGACUGUGACACAUUCAAAGGCCGAUAUAUAUUCAUAAAACCACAUAUAUCAGUAUCAAAGUGUGUCUGUCUAUCUGUGAUUAGCAUGUUUUCAAAUGAGUGCCUGUCUAUUGUUGUCUCAUUAUGCAUGUCUCCACCCCAUGUUUUACAGAGCUUGGUUAUUUUAGUAUACUAUGCUCUGUUUACUGACACACAAACAGCGCGCGCUUGAGAACACACGUCAACCUUUAGUUUCUGCCCUGGCUUCCUCGAAAACGAAUAUCCUCGUAUCACGACCGUAGAACAAAAUAUACCAUCUUGUCUCUAAAACACUUGAAACUCAUCCAGUAAGGGACAUCUGUGGUGGAUAAAAUAAGCAGUUGAAAUAAAUCUCUGUGAGUCAUGUGGCAAAGUAACAAGAAAACAAGCAGGGGAGGAAAAGCAGAGAGAUGAUAUUGCUAUCUGUUUACUGUAAAUGGAUGGGCAGUAUUUCAUUUUUUAUUCAGUCCCUGUCCGCUCCAGAGUUUUCAAUCUGGUUCCUUGUGAAGAUGUUGAUUGUAAGCAGACCUUUCAAGUUACUGUCAUUGGUGAGAGGAUGCAGUGUGCUUCAAAGCAUUAUUAUGUCUUACAUUGUCACAAGAUGUAGAACGCUAAAAAAAUAAGGAAUAUAAAGACAAAAAAGGGGAGAAAAAUGAAUGUCUGCUUAAAUUAAAGGCAGCUGAAGUUGACAAAGAUCCCUUCAAAUAACCAAAAACAGUGACCUGUGGAGUUUGAGACACAGGGUUUCUUUGCAUAAAUAAUCAUUUGCUUAAUUAAUAAGACUAGGGAGUACACAAAGCAAAGUCUGCAGGAGGUGAUUAUCAUUUCAUAAGUUAACUAAUUAAAUCUACCACCUGAUAAGCUGGCUUUGUUUCUUAUUUACUUCAAAUUUAACAACUGCCUUGUUAGAGCCCAACAUGUAACAAUAACCCAAAAUAUAAUAGAACCCGAAAUGUAGUAACUGGUCGAUAAUGUCACAAGAUGCUAAGCCCAAAACGUAUCAACUUUUUGCCCAAAAUGUAGCAACUUGUUACGUUUGGGCUUUCGAGUGAACCAAAUUAUUACAUUUCGAGCUUUAUUACAUCUAUUUUUAUAACACUUCAUGUCAUUGUUACAUAUCGGGCUCUAACAUGUCUACAAAACAACCCUUGAACUUGGACAGUAAAUGAUUCCAGUUAAAGAUGUAAGGACUGCAAUUAAGACUGAUCCUUCAGUGUUAUGAUCCAAGACUGAUUCUUCAACGCUGUAGAAAUACACAAAUGUCUGUAAUUUGUGCUUGAACAGAAGUCACUUUAAAUGAACUGAUCUGAAAUCAUUUUAAAUAUUAAUCUGUGAUUAACACUUACAGCCUGGUACAUUUUUAUCUUUCUUUGCAAAAAUGGCUGUGUGAGUAGAGUUAGAAGGAUAUUUGGGUCGAAUCUGAUGAGAGCAUGUGUUGAAAACAGAUGGUUAGGCAGUUCUGAAUAAUAGCUCUUUUUAAGGUAAUGAUAGUUAUCAGGGCCUGAGCACUGAGUGGUGCAAAGGCCCUAUUGAAAUACUUGGGAUUAUUAUUAAUCUUUCAUUCUGUGAAUGAUCGCAGUUAAGGGGCCCUCAUCCUACUUAAAAACUCUUGAUUUUUUUGCAGGUGCAUUGGGUCUUGCAGGAAAUUUGGUAGUUUAUGGGUUUGUCACAUGGGUGCGACAAAUUGUCUCAAUGGUGCCCCCAAGAAAUUAACCCAUUUGUCUUUUUUUCUUUCUUUUUUUUUUCAGAUAGAGACUUCACAAUUGCUAUACCUACCUGGUUUCCUUAGACUGAAAAAUGUCUUAGGAUGGCAGUUAUUGUGACAAAAAUCACUGAUUUAAUGGUUUUCUAUUCAUACAGUGUUAAGGUAGAAGAAACCUGAAUGAUGAAAAAUUAUGGACUCUUCGAUAACUCAAAGGCCCUCAGAGUUCAAAGUUUCAUCAUCUGAAGACCAACACAAACUACAGUCAGCAUGGAACACUAUUCUCUUAAUGUGAUGACUGACAAGGCUAAUUCAAGAAAAUAUAACAGUAGAUCACUGUAAAAAACAUGUACUCAAAAUUCAUACUUUCUCAAGUUAUCGGUAAUAGAGAAUUAAUGCAGAAUCCACUAAACUAUAUUACACUAUGUAAUCUCAUCAGUGGGUGACAGAAAAACACAACUGCUGCUAUUGAAUGUUUGACUCCUACACCUACCAUACCACCCGUUGCUCCAUUUUUUGUAACUUCAGCAUCCAUAUUCAUGAUGCCAAAGAAAAAAAAUGCCCAAAUAGCAGUCCCCUGGGGGAUUCCUCAGUGUGGCGAUCCCAUCCCAGAACUAUGAGUCCCUCCCAAAAAAAAUUGUGCCUUUUGUAACUGUACAUAGUUUCUUUGUUCUGCCUGCUUUGCUGUUAAGCCCUUUGGAUCAAAGCUGACAGCAGUGGACACAGCCAGAGUAAUUAAAAAUACAUGCGCCAUAGUUUCACAUUUUACUUUAUUAUGUUUGUAUCCCUAAGGCCCACUCCAUAUGUCUUUGCACUAAACCCAGACACGUUCCAAACUACUUUUUAAACUUGUUAUCACACUGGAGGGCUUUGCAGAGACGCCUCCUGGGUAUAGGUAAAGGUUGUUCAGGAUGGUACAAAUUAUGCUCCUUUUGUAGAGCCAGAUAGAGAACAAUGAACAGCUGGCUUAUGAGUAUCUAUAUGUGGAUAGAAGUAGGAACAGGCACUGGACUAUUUGAUCCCUGAUGAAGCUCUCCUGGAUGUAAGCUAAAUUAGGCAUAAGAUACCGGCAGAUCAUUAUCCUAAUCACUAUAAGCGAAAGGGUUAUAGAUGUACAAGAGAAGCAGCUCCCAAAAUGUCUUCAACUUAUUCCAAAGCAAAGAAAAAAAAACCACACACUCUUCGACACUCACAGUAUCACAUGGAUUAUCUCAGAAUAUCCCAAAAGACAUGAAAAGAAACAUGACUACCAAUUAGGUUUUUAUCUUGUCUUUUCCUUUUCCCUGUCUCCUCUAUUUUCCAUUUUUUUUUACAGAUUUUUUUUUCUCAUAGCAUGUUAAUUCAUAGCAUUCACACUUGUCUGUUAAAGAUGGUGCUAAUUUAUGUUCUCAAAUGAAAACAACACCCUAGACAUGGGAAAGAACCUUCUGACUAAAAACAGAUUCUUAUUCUGUACAGUGCUGUAGAGGUUGCUUCUAGAAACGCUGGAAUAUUGGCCCAAUGUUUUUGUUUUUUCAAGUAAUUUUUGUUAAAGUUACUUGUACUUGUAAAUAAUCAUUUCCAAACAGUGUUUAAUUUUGGUUGCAAUUUAAUGCUUGAUUGGCCAUUUCUUCCUCCAGUGUUGCUUAAUGAUUUGACCCCUUGACCUCUGUUCCCUGUAUGCUGGGUCCACACAAGCUGCUUUGACCUGUGCCAUAAGGACUUUGUUUAUUCAGUGUUUACCAACUAACUUACUUAAUUACUUGUUUUAGGGAUUUCUCCUUGUCUAGCAGCUCACGUCCCACAAUCCAUGGCUUAGUUUUGUUGCUCAUUGCAUUGCCAACUGUACAUUAUGCAUGAGAGUAUGCAUAACGCAUGAACUAGUUUAGUCCCUAGACCAAUAAUUGAAAGACUCAUGAACAUUUUAACCUGUUUUCUAAGAUUUGAUUUUACACCUCUAUGAGACCUCUCUAUGUUUUACUCACCACUAAACAAGCAGAGAGAUUCACUUUUCUCCUCAAAAAGAAAUCCACUGAGAUUUAAGGCUUAGACAAAUAUGAUUGAAACCUCGCCAGUUGAUGCAUUGCAGCAAAGACUGAAGAAAACUCGAUGGUCUGACCACUUUGACGCAUGUUUCUUUUUUAUUUUAGCACUUGUAUCUGCUCCCUUUCUAAUUUAACUUUGUAGUUUUGUUUGAUUUUAACACAAUGAUUUUAUUUGUGUGUACAAGGACUUUUGGGAGGGUUCAGGGUGGUUCUACCAUCCUCCACAAGAGUUUUCUCUUGCCUUUUUUUCUUUUUUCCUCCAAGGUUUUUUUUUUUUUUUCUUCUUUUUUUCCCCCCGAGGUACUUUCCAUGGCCUUCACCUGACCAGGUUUCUCUAACCCAUUGUGACCUGAAGAUAUAAGGACUUUUCAAUGGAUUCACUUUUCCUUCAAAUGUCAUUUCAGCUGAGGGCUGCAUGGUGGUGCAGUGGGACAAAUUAUGAGGUUUCUGGUUCAAAUUUCUCCACUUUAACAAUGACAUCUUUGAAAACAACAAUCAGUACAAGGUGGAUUUGCAUCUGAGUCAUUACUAAAACCUGAGGCUGUUCCAUUUAUAUAGACCUUUCAUGAAGGCUCUGAACCCCAAGCUGUAUGUAACAGUAUAAGUGCAGGCAAUGUAACGAUUGCACUAACAAAUGCUACUCUGGCAAAAAAGAGGACUUAGUGAAUGCCAAAAGCCGGCCUCAGACACUUUCCAUGCAGUAACUCCUUACAGGCUGUUUCUAGACCGUAAAGCUAUGUAAAAAAGGUCACCCACAAUCUGUGACUGAUGUUAGAUCACUGGAAAAGCAGCCAAAACAAAGUCUUUUCUGAGCUGCACACCAUCCAGUUACUGUAAAGAUGCCCCGGACUGGCAUCGUCAAAAGAGAAGAUGAAGACAAUAUGUCUCCUUUAACCUACCUUAAAAGUUUGGGUAAUGAAUUUCACUUCAUUGUGUGAUUGCGUGUUUGUCUAUAGACUGGUGACCUGUACAGGUAGUACCCUGGGACUGGGAUUAGCUUCAGCCCCCUGUGCUGCCAGACGUGCUAAGCGGUAUAGGUAAUUUUUGGAUGAAUGGAUUUCUGUUCUAUUUAACCUUAGCUUUAACUACGCACCCAGCAUGUUAAGGGUUGGUUUCAACCUGUGUCUUAAAUCAGCUGUAAAUUACAAUAAAAACGAUUCUUUAUCAUCCAAUUUGGUUCUCAUCUCUCGGUUACCUUGUUAGGCUUCAUUAUCCAUGAAAAUAUUGCUUAAUUUUUUUUUGUAGUAGUCCUCUGGGCUUUUCUUUGUUAGUAUACCCCUCAUCCUCAUACAGACAUCUAUACUGAACUGAUCUCACAUGUCUGGACAUGCCCGAUGUUGUUUUUUGUGCAGAGAAAAACAUGGAAAAAUGAGAAUUUCCUAAAUCUCACAUGAUUGGAAGAGGAUCUGACUGUCAGUGUGGUGCCUGACAGUGCACUUAUUAUUUCAGUUUUUUCUCUAAUUAUAAGAUAUUGAUCUAACCGGAUCAACAGCGACCCUAACACGACAAGUGCCAAUUUUUUUAUUUAGAGUUUCCUGACAAAGUCAAAAAAGCUAAUUUAAGUGGUUCUUUUAAGCAUUUAAAAACAAAAAUGGGUCGGCGCAGACCCUAACACAGGAGGAGGGUUAAAGUCAGGCCAAAUUAAGUUAGGUGAUUAAUAAAAGGUAGAUUAAACUCAAUGACCUGAGCCUACUCUGGCUCUGUCAGUCACUCUGUGUUCUCUUUCCUCAUCCACUGGCCAUAUGCUUGUUUUUUUCAGAAGGGAUUCAGUCUUUGUAAAGAUCAUGUCAGGUGUUUAAGUGUGUGCUGUGUGACAUGCAUGUGUCUCUGCGCUCCUGUCUGGAGAGGUGUCUAAGAGCUCCUCACCUGCGAACACUCUCCACGUGUCUAAAUCAAGGAUGUGAGCUGUUUCCCUGGAUAUCUCUCAUGAGACUAUCACACUGGAGAGAUUUGGAGAGAGUGGUCAUUAGCACUGGCUAACAAACAUAUGCUCACGACUUCAGUGUCAUCAGAUUUACAUGCAGUGCAGAGAUUCUUCAUCGCUUGACAAGAUUGUUUUCUUGAGAGAGUAUGACUGAGUUUUGGUUUCAAGGACGUUUUUCAUUUCUGCUUUUUUUUUUCCUCAAAGAAAUGCCAUUUCUGCCGGUGUAGACAAAUAUUGUAAGCAUAUAGUGUCUGGACUUGGAUUUUCAAAAUGUACUGAAGUGGACAACCUGUCAAAUAGUUUAAAAACAGAAAAACGUAAGCAAUGAAUCAUUUUGAAGAAAAUCAUUUACGUUAAGUAAAUGCCAAACCUUUCAGUGUUGAACUCUUGACUUUCCCCUGAGCAGACAGCUCAGUUUUUUAUGUUUUCCCACUCUAAUGUUCAAUGUCAAUAUAUCUCUUAUUUAUUGAAUUUAAAUACAUCACAAUUAUUUUAGCAUCCGCCUGUGUUUCACUGCUGGGAUAAAGAAACCCUGAUGCAAAUCAAAGCCUGAGCAACCUCAUAAAAGUGCUUCUAUCUAAACUUUUUAAAUUAAAAUUCUCUGAUCAGGCUUUGCAGUAGUUUUGAAUUUUUGGAUGUGUCAAAGUUAAGGGGGAAAAGUCCACCCACUGCACCAACAGCAUGGGAAUUCCUUAGGGGUCAGUGCUAGGUCCUCUUCUAUUUACUCUGUAUACCAGCAACCUACCUGAGAGUUGCCUUGCAGAUGAUACUAUCAUCAUUACACCUGUGUGAUUAGCAAAGAUAGCUAUUGAGCUUCAACUGACAUCUUGCACUCUGGCUUGAGUCUUCCCAUUGAACACUGAAGAUCAAUAAAUGUAAGAAGCCUAUUAGUUUUCUGCUUUGAAGUGACAAAAAUGCUUUUGUUAUGAAAAACAAUAACAUAAUUUUCUCCACCAAUCACCAAAUUUAUAGAUACUUAUUGAAGAAGAAUGGAAAAAUUUAGAAUAAAAUGGGUUUCUAUUUGUAAAUUUUAUUUUGAUGCCUGUAUUAAAAACAUUUUAAUUGGAAAAAUAUGAUAAAAAAAUUUUGGCAGCUUGAAAGUUCACGGAAUUUGGUCAAAAAUGGUGGUGGUGGUUGGCAACUUCUUCAUGGAAUAGUGGCAGUAAAAGAGUGAUUGUACAAAAAUGAUUGUAUGGUCUUGGCCAGUCUGUUUUGAAUAAAUCUAUCAUCAGACAGCAGGGUGGUAGUAGAGUCAACACACUUUACAGCAACUGGUGCAUCACAAUGUGCAAAACACCAUUUGGACAGACAAUCCUCUCUAAGUUCAAAACUUUGAAAACUUUGAAACUUUUUGAACCAAGCUGGAACUACAACAGAACUUUGUUGUUUUCAACAAAGGUGUAAAAUCCUGUUAGAAGAGAGAAAACGCUAUUCUCACUCCUAAAAUGUGUGUACACGUCAGUCGACUUUUCACAGUAUUUAGCCCUCUGUUUUUGUACUUCUGCUUUUGUCAGUUUUGCGUCAUUUCUGUGUUGUUCUUGUAUUGUCUUGGUCUUUUUGAGUCUUAUUUUUGGAUGAUUUACAAAAGCCUCUUGCAGACAGGUGAUGCAAAUUAGCAUUUGGCUAAAAACACUAAGUGCAGAGCAUUGGUUAAAUGUUUCAGCACCAAUGUUGCAUGACAGACAGAUAGAUAGAUAGAUAGAUAGAUAGAUAGAUAGAUAGAUAGAUAGAUAGAUAGAUAGAUAGAAAGUGCUACUAAAACCUUUAUUGACAAGUUUAAUUUCGUUUGUACACAGAUGAUAGAGGUUUAAACCCACUGACACUGGCAGGUGAGAGGUAUAUGAGCGCAGAAACAAAAAGAUAGGAAGAGAAAGAAUGCUCACCUUUCAAUCACGGCAAUAGAUCUCUCUUGCUGGUCAUUGUCGUCCCCCUCCCCUGAUCCCUUCACCUGCCUGCCUGUCCUCUCUUGCCUCAAAAGCACCCAUCACUUCAGCUCAGUGACACAAGCAGGCAAUUACUGCAAGGUGAGAAUGUGACACUUUUCACAAAUCACUUAGCUGAGAGAUUGCUUUUCUAUAUCCAGUCUGAGAUUGUGUUUGAAGGAAAAAAAAGAACAAAAGUACCACAGCAUGAAGACAUAAAACAAAAGAUCUUAUAUGUCUUCAUAUUAUUGUUCAUGAUACUUUUUUUUCGAGCAAACUUCACAUGCAUUUGUCUUUUAUGUAAAUCUGAGCCACAGUAAUCUACUGUUUGAUCAAUCAGUGUAGCUUCAUUAAACUCAAAGAGACAGUAAGUAACCUCCUGUAAUUAGACUACACGAACACUUUCCAUUACUGUCUACUUGCCCCUUUGCAGGCAACCCUAAAAUGCUAUUGCGCCUUGCAUCACUUGUUUACUUUUUAAGUAAGGUUGAAGGUUCAAGCUUCAUUCGGAGCAGUCAAUUCCUUAAGGGCAUCCUUUUGAUCUUUUCAGACAAAACUUAGCCUUUAUAUGGUGAGAUCCUCCAGCCAGCUUUGGGCGGCCCGGAUUUAAGCGACCCAGACACCCCCUGACUGAUCCCAAAUGUCUGGGUUGAUGCAGAAAUUCCAAAACGAAUAUUAAAAUAACAUAAUUAAAAGAAAUUAGGGCUCAGAAUUUGUGCCGAUAAUGUAUAUUUUACCAUUCAUCUCCCUUAACUGUGAAACAAAUGUCACACAUCUCAUUCUCUUAAUUCAAAUAUCACUUGAACAAAUACGUGAAUUGCCUCGAGUGCUUUCUUUCACACAUUAAGUGAACGGGUCUCAUUCACCAUUACUUCCCACUCUAUUAUAAUCAUUUUAAAAACACCACUUUAAGUCAGAAAACCUUUCAAGUGACAUCCUCAUUUUUUUAACACCUCAUGUCAUUUAUUUCGUCUUUUCACUCUUUUAAUAUCUAACAUCAAUCAUCUUCACUUCAGCCGUCUCAGAACCAAUCUUCUCUUCCACUCACCCUUUGUUUGUCUCUUGCCUCAUGUAUAUCUUCUGAGGACUGUUUUCAUCCCGACGUCCAGCCCCACAUCCCCCGAGGCCCCCUUGGCGAAUUUGGGUAGAGAUUGAAAGCAGGAGCGAUGGGGAUCUGACGUCCCCUUUAAUAUUUUAACAUUUAAUCCAAAGCACCACCAUGUGCUCCUUCUCUGCCUUUCCUCCUGACUGUUCAGACUCUGUGCACAAUCUUGCAGACAGAGCUAGCAUGGUAUUGCUGACUCUUUACUGUAAUGAUAAAACAAUGCCUUUGUUCUAUUUUUCUCCUCUCAUGUUACUUUAAGUUCCUGUUCAAACCACUAACUCUGCAUCUUUAUUGGUCUGUGGGGGGAAUUCACAUGUUCUGGCACAUAGUCAAGCUGGGGAAUACAACUUUCAAUGCACAGAACCUUGCAUCCGGCCCAUGACAAAAACAGUGAGUAAAAAUGAAGUCAUCACAGUUACAAUAUUCACAUGUGUCUUCUUUUUAUUUACUUAAUAUAAGGUGUUAAAGUUGUACUUCAAUUGAAAAUAGUCCUUAAUGAUACUCCAAAGAUGAGUUCCAUGGAAACAGAGUUAGCAUUUAUUUAGCCAACUUUGUUUGUGUUGCCUAAAACUGCUCAUAUAUAUACAUAUUUAUUUAUUAUAUCACGGCUGUAAAAAAAUUGUCUUUCUUUUGAAAUCCUGAUCAGUCUCUGUAUUUUACUUGUGAACCAUGCUCAUUUGCACUUUAAUUCACAAACAUAAAAUUCCAUUAUUUUUUGCAUUUCAAAAUAUUGACAAUAUAGAUAAUAAUGUAGCUAAUCUGCGAUUUUGCACCUUAAUCUCAGGGCUAUUUCAGUAACUUUUGCUUAUUCUAGUUGCCAUUCAAAAAAUAUUGAUUAAAUUGUAUUCAAACAUUUUGGAGCUCCUGUGAGGAGUUUUUAAUCGGUUAUGAACGGCUGAAAUGAGCAUGUGUCUCUAUGAUGCACAAAAGCAAAUGAGGCCAUUGAUGGCAAGACAAACAGUCUCUUUGUUGUAAUCAGUAAGGCCUGUAACGGCUGUAAAGAGGUUAGUACGCUCAAUGAACAGCCUAAUUCUUUAUUUAUUUAUUUUUUUCCCAGUUGUCAAUAAGAGGAUAUUUGGUUUCCCAAAUAACUGAGCUUUCACAAGGUAGAGAAAAAAUCUGCAAUUAUACAAGGUUAACCGUUAUGUCCACAGGGGGCGCCAUAGUCAGCACAGACUAAAAGUUCCAAACAGGAGGUUCAAUUGUUAAUCCAACAGCGGUUCACCAAAAAGAAAAAAAAAAGUCUGCUAGCCAGUCUCAGUUAAAACCAAGUGAAAACCACACACAUAUGCUUAAAAAAAAAACUCUUUAGAGCAAGAAUCAACAUGUCUAGAGGCUAAUUCAUAGAACAGUUGUUGCAUGUCUAGCUCAUUUCUCUUUUUCCACUCACCCUACAGGGGUGUGGAUUAUUUUACAACACAUGUAUUUUGAAGAUAUGAAGGUUACAAGUUUUGCAGUAUUAGAAAGCUGUCUUGACUGACAGUCGUUGAAUAAACAUUUCUUUCUUUAUUAAAAAAAUCUCUCAAUAUUCCCUUUGGUAACAAGAUGUCAACUGAGGAAGCUCUUGUUGUAAAUUGCUGGUGUCAUUUCAGCAGUCUUCAACUGCACUCUGCUUCUAAAUAUGGCUAAUUGGCUUUGGGCCCAGAAAAGUGGGCUUAGCAGGUUUAAUAACAUCACAAAAGUGGUGGAUUGUGACAUGACGUAUAGACAAAGGAAAAAGGAAAGAUAUGAUCGCAGAGUAUAUUCUGGUAAAAGAGUGUUUAAGAAAAAAAUAUGGCACAAUUUCCUCUAGGAGUUAUUGAAAGAGUAAAUAAAGAACUAUAUGUUUUUAAAUUAAACAGUUUUUUGUGUGAUUAAUGUUCCUGUUUUAUUUCAAAUCUAGGUUUUACUGACAGUAUAAACUAUAUUAUUGAAAUAGCUCCAGCUGUAAUGAUGAAGGGUAUAUGCAAAGAGCAUUAAUAAAUGCAAGUAAUCGCCUUUCAGGAGUAUAUUGGGUUGCUUGGACGGAUGGGAGAGAGGGAUUACAGUUCAUUACCACUGCCACCCACUCUCUACCUCGCUUACUGGCAUUUAAUAAAGGAAGACCUGCAGACAGAGAAGAGAAUUCAUAUAAGUGGUGAAAAGAAUUACGUGAUGGAGAAAAAUAUGAAAAGGUUGAAAGAAGAGGGCAAGACAGCCUCCUUGACUUUUGAUCAGUUGAGGUUGAGAAAAGAGCACCACCCUCAGAUUUGCACAGAUCUUUUUAGAUUCUUGUACUGAAUUAUAUUGAGUUGAUGCCGAAAAAAAAAGUGGCACAAGCACAGAAACAAAUUUGCAUGUUUUAUUUAUUUAUUUUUUUUCUUCCUCAGGGCCAAACAGUUCUAGUUAAGAUUUUUCUUUUUUCAUUGUUCACAGCACUCGCUUCACAACCACAGACACUCACUCUUGUCAGGAGUCUUGUUUGGAUCAUUACAGUCUCAGAAGCAAGAGAGAAAAUAAGGUCUGCUUAGUCAAAAGCUAAUUUUCUGCUCUCCAGUAUUGUCAUACUUGUACAGAGCAUAAUCUGCAAAAAGGAGAACUACAAAGAUGAAAUUGAAAGACUGAGUGGGUACAUGGUGCUUUUCUGUUCUGAGAUGAAAUUCAUCCCGGUUGCUCGGGGUUUCUAGGGCACAAAUUCUUAACAAAGAAGUGAGAGUGUAUGACAGCUUUCACACGUUUAUCAUUGAUUUUCCUACCAGCUUUGUGCUUUUCAUUGGUGUCUUGAGAAGUAAAGUAAAUAAUGGAAGUAGAUGGUGCCAGGCAGGCCACUGGUUGAUGAUAGAUCUUGUGCAGAUGUAUCCUUAAGACAGUUCGAGGUCUUCAGUCCAGUCCGUGAGGUGUACCUAUAGAAAACCUAUGUGACAACAGGGAAACCUUUCAAACUCUGCAAAGAAGGAGCUGUUUGGUGUCUGUCCAGACCUCUUGUAUAACUUUGAAAAAGGAAGGGUAAUAAUAAAAAGCGAAAUAACAAUUUAUUUAUUUAUUUGAAUAUGUAAUCAUUAAAGCUGGACCAUUGUUAAAGGGAUAUUCCGGCAUGAAAUUAAUUUAGGGUCAAACACUCCAUGACAUCGAGUUAGACACCCCCUCAAGAGAUGAAUGUUGACAACCCCUUGCUUCUCUAGUUAUACCAACUUUAGUAGCGACCGCAUGAUAGCAAUAUACAGCGGUUCAAGGAGCCACACGCUCAAAGAGACUAAACACAACUCACCUGCUCUCUUCCAGCAGCUGCUUGUUUGUAGUGAUACCCCGGGCCAGUCUAUUAUGGACUACAGCGGGGUGACGCAGCUCAAGGAAGAACAUUUAAGAUAAUUACUUUAUCGUUUCCGUGAAGUUAUAAUCACCAGAUUAAUAAUUUUGAACUGCAGACACAGUAGUUCUUCUGCCUUAGCUUCUCAGUCUGACUGCAUUUCCAUGAAGAAAUUAUCAUAAACAUUCAUUCUCGACAGGGUGUCUAACUCGGUGUUACGGUGUGUUUGAUACUAACUUAAUUUUACACCGGAAUAUCCCUUUAAAUUCUUUAAUACGAGCACAAAACUAGCAAAAACUGACAAAGAUUUUGACAAGUAUGAGGCAAGAUUGUUGUAGACGUAUUAAAUCCAUCAUUUUUCUACUGUGCAUCCAACCCAAGAUGUGGGCAUUGUUUAACAGUGGCAGGCUGAGUUACUUUAGAGGCACUUUAUUUAUUUUAUCACUCGUCUGCAACAAAUGCACUGUCUGCUCCAUGCUUCCUUCUCACUUUUGCAUACUUUUGGAAAUAAGGAUAAAGUUUAAAUCUCUGAAGAUGAAGAUGUGGCUGAGAGAGAAGUGAAAUGACUGUCAGUCCAGGGGUAUUUACAGGGCUUAGUCUGGACCCCACAACCCCACCCCACAAAAAGUCAAUAAAAAUAAAUAUAUCUAUGAUUGCCACAGAAAAAAAAUGUUUGAUUUGGAGAGAGAAUCAGUUCUCUAUAUAUUACCAUAGCAGAUUUGCAGAGGCAGCACUGCAUUGUAGGAGAGUCUGAAAAUUAAUUAUCCAGCUGAGGAAAGGACUCCAGAUAUUACACAAGUGUCAAGAGACUGCAACACUGCAGUUUUGAACACUUGUGCUACCUUGAGAUGAAUUUCUGAUUGAUAGAUUCAGUUUGAAGAAAGAAAAUGUGACCAAAAGUAUUGAUGAUUAAAAUGUAAUGAGUUUUUUUUUACUGACUACUACUAGACUACAAUGUUUUCACUUUUUGUUGACUACAACUCUUCAGGGCAAAAAUGAUUAAAAGGCAUUUUAAUCCAAAGACUAAGACUAUGAAUCUAAAAUAGAGGCCAAAAUUAACACUAAACCUCGCUGAGUCAGGCCUUUUAUUUAUAUACUUAUUUUUUUCAGGUACAAUGCUGAGUGAAAUUAACCGAUAAAUUGACUUUUGUUGUGAAACAUUAAUAUUUUUUUUCACAAUCUCAUGCAUCUUUUAAAUGUCUCUUAAAACGCUUUUCCCCCCAAACCACAUUAUUAACAUCUGAACAAAUGUUUCCCCCCAAAAGCAGAUCAACAUGUUUAAUUUCAUGCAUGAAGUUUCAACUAAAAUCUCCGCUGAGGGUCACUGAUGUCCUCCACAUAUCUUUUCCCCCUCACUCCUUGGCCAGACUGCUUCCAUGCUGUUCCUGUGUGUUUGUCCAUUAAUCUCCCAGUAUGCUGACUGGUAACUGUCUGCCUAAGAACCUAAUGCAUCAUUUCUGUCUAGGGCUGGGACUUACUUAACCAGGCUGUAAAAAGAAAACUUUUCACUGUGGUGUUAAAAGCUACUGAUGAAAAAUCCUUAAACAAACGGAAAAGCUUCUCUAAACCGUUCUGCAUCAAACACCUGAUACAUGAGUUUUCUUUGUUUUGUUGUUGUCAUUAAUCCUUUUCUGUGAGUUGUCACUAGUGGCUCAUGAGGGGAGUUUUGGGGUGUUAGAGCAUCCCAAGUGCAGAGAACAUUUUAUCUGACAGCAGGCCAAUGGAAUAAAUAGCAUUACCAGAACAGGCACAAUAUGUGAGCACACUGUGACAAGUGCACAGUACAUUUCUAGCACCUCACCAGAUAAGGCCUUUAAUGUUAUUUACUUCUGACUUUUCGAUGAUUACCUCAAUGAGCCUCUUGUGGAGGCAUGUGUGCCAACACAAGCAGAUAAAUUUGUCUGCACCAGUGUGGGCAACCUAGAGUGUGUGUGCAUGUGUGACUCAGGGGGAAGUGGAGGUUAUUUCGAUGGAGCGGUGUUCAUUUUUCCCCUAACACCCUUCAGCAGCUCCAGCCCAUAUUGACUUCCCAGACUCAUCUAUUCUCAUUUAUGAAAUGAUGUCAAAACUCCAUGGCAACCAUUCUACCAGUAGCCCAAGGCUUGCUAACCAGAAAGAGUCAGAAAAACAGGGGCACUAAACGCAGAUGAACACACAUGACAGAUAUAACCAUUGGAGUAGCACUGAAAGUGUGCGACAAGUGUGUCAAAGACAGUUUUUUCUCCAUGAAGGAUUAGCGAUUAAACACUGAGGAAGAGUUGAACAGAAUAUGAAAAACAUCAAAUGGCAGCAGUUCAAUAGUAUGCUGUAUUCACCCUCCCACAGUUGCCACAGCUGCUUUAAUUUCUUUCUCAGUUAGACAGAGAAUGAAAUCACGCAGCCCCUUGUCUUCACAUCUUUGAAAAAAUAAAAAAAAAAAAUUAUAUGUAUAAAUUAUUUUUGUGUUAGAAAUUGUUAAAAUGCGAAAACAAAGUCAACAUACUUUAAUCUUUUGUUGAAAAACUUUUUCACAUGGCUUGUUCGAACACUUACUUUUGAUUGUUCAUUUACAGCUUUUUAAGGUCUGCUUCUUGUACAUGAAGUACCCUAUAAAGAUCUGACUAUUGCUAAGAGACAUUAUUUACUAUGGAGGAGAAGAAAAAAGAACAUAAAAACAGUAAAAAAGUGAAAGAGAUUACCAAGUACAAAAAAACUGCAUAUAGAAAUUAAAAACAACAAAAACUUGGCAGUUGAAUGACUCCCUGAACUUGACACAGUUCAGGAUGAGAGAAAGUAUAAAUGCUGCUGAAAGGUGAGAAAAAAUGUGUACAGAUCCUGAUAGUGAUAAGGCAGAAAAACUGUUAUCUGUGCUGCAGUGAUUCACCCAGACCUUCUCACCUUAUCCUGCUUCAUAAUCAAUUGAAGUGCUCGGUGUAAAGUGAGCAAACAGCUGAGUAGACUGAUUCAAACAGGUGACAAAAGCAGUAGAAACAGUUCAAAUGUUUUUCCAACAUGAUUCUAAGACCCACUGAAAGGACCCAAAACACAAGCUGUCUCUUGGUAUUUAAAUAAAAGCUGUGCAAACCUGCAAGGCAUCAUAAAAUUUGGUGUAGCAAAUUCAGUUUCAUUAUGUUUUUUUUUUUUUUUUUUUAGUCCACAAAAUGAGCUGUACAGUGAUGAGUAUGAUGACUUGUAAAGUGAUGGUGCAAUUGAAAAUACUUGUUAAAUUAAAACAAACAUUGCGCAGUAGCGUUGUACGCACUCCUCCACUUGCACAGUAGCAUUGUGCGAGUCGCCAAGAGUCGCUGUGAUGACACUCAGCUCAAACAGCGUAUUCACCGGGUGAGCUACGCAAUCCUUGUACGCCCAUAGGCUGUAUCAAGUGUCAAUCAUAGAAAACAUGAGCCCCGUAAUAACUUUUAAAAACGGAACUGUACAGAAAAAAAGAGGACUUGAGCACAAACCAGUCUUACAAUAACUACAUGUCAGAUAAAUUCUAAAGUUUGUCCAAAGCCCCAUAAGCUUUGCUUUAUGACCUAUACUGCAGCCCGUCAACAGAGGGUGCUGUUCUCAGAGUGGCUUCACCCAGCAAGGAGGCAGACGCUGUCCAUUCUAUAUACAGUCUAUGUGUAGGACUAAAACAUCUUGAAUGCAGCAAUACUCUUCCCACAUGGAUACAAUUCAAACCCCUUUUCCAUUUUGGAACCUGCCAGAAAAAUAAAAACAGAGUGUGUCUUAGAGAAGGUGACACUUAUUUUCUGUAUUUGGUGGUAAUAUGUGUUUAAACAUCCCAAAUUACUUUUGUUAAGGCAUGUUGACAUUUCAUUUUAGGAGUUUAUUGUAAGCAUCAAACUACAACAUGGCCUGUUUGUAAUCAGUGUCCAACCCAGGGCCGGGUCUAGAAAAUGAUGACUAGGGGUGCAUCUCAGAUCAGAGGGGGUGCACAUGCCUGGCACGUUAUUCAACACUAAAUUAUGCAUUUUCCCGUCAUUUCAAGCGGAAUGAAACUAGUCAAACAAGAAUAUUUAAAAUGUCUUUCAUAUGCUUUAUUGUAGCAAAAUUGUUGUAGAAAAAGGAAAUGCAGAUGUUUCUUACCCUGAAUAUUUAACAUAGAAAUUCAAACUAUUUUUAACUAUACAGCUCAAAACCAUCACUAAACAUGAUAGUCAUUUCAUGGGGAAUGAUAAUAGUCAAACAAGAACAUUUAAAGUGUCUUUCAAAUGCAGUUUUGCAGCAGACGUUUCUUACCCUGAAUAUUUAACAUAGAAAUUCAAACUAUUUUUAACUAUACAGCUCAAAACCAUCACUAAACAUGGCAGUCAUUUUAAGUGGAAUUCUACCAGUCUCAAAUGCAUUUUUGCAGCAAUAUUGUAACAGAUGUUUCUUACCCUGAUAUUCAGGGUAAGAAACAUCUGCUGUUAAGAUUGCCUGAUAGGUGAGGUAGCCCAGACUAAAUGGAGCAUUUUCUUUUUUCUGCUACAAUAUUGCUGCAAAACUGCAUUUGAAAGACACUUUAAAUAUUCUUGUUUGACUAUUAUCAUUCCACUUCAAAUGUCGGGGGGGCCGGGCGCCUGCUCUGGGCCUUGGGGUGAAGGGAGGGGGGGCUGUGGCGGCAGCGGCUCGGGCAGGAGUGAGCAGCCGGACGAGGCUACUGCUUGCUCCCCAGCAGCAGCUGCUACGCCAGCUUCACAAAGCUCAAGUUGGGAUUGAGUCUCUUUCUCACCACGACCACCGUUGUCUGACUUGAUGGCGUGGUUGUGCUGGAACCACUUUCGAAUAUCCAUUGUUUACUUUGUGCUAUCGGUGCAGCAGAGAGCAGCGUCUUGCGAGUGCAGGUAACUGCGCGCUGCACGCAGGCAGAUGAGUGACGUGCCCUGACGCGCGCGCACUUCUCCCUCUUUCCAACUGAGCAUGCAGCCACAUAAACUGAGGGUGCAAUGCAUGCUUAUGCACCCCCGUAGAACCGGGCCUGGUCCAAACUAACAUGACUUUUCGCUAACAACGAAGGGAACGUAUUUAUAAAUACUUGACAUAGAUACUUCUGCAAAAAAAUUAAACUGUAUCGUCAUGCAGCAUGCUCACCAACAUUAAAAGCACAUACAGUAUAUCACAGAAUAAUAAGCUGUAAGUAUCUUGCUCUCUGUAAAGAGUGCAGCUGCUUCAGGCGAGACGUGCUUCCAGUGUGCAGGGGUGCACACCCUCAGGUGGACCAAAAGCUAAACUUAGUGCCUCCUGUGGGUUUUCAGGGUAACCACAACUCCAUCUUUCACUUUUCUCUAAACAGACAUGUUGAAGUGCUUCAAGAAUCCUUGUACUCUUUGAAGUGCAUUACAGAAUUAAAUUUCUUAACAUGAUUUUUUGACCAAUGCCGUCUCUUGGAUGUAUUCAGUUUUUUUAAGUAGUCCUUAAGUACUCUUAAGAAAUGAAUAGGUGUUAUCAUGCUUGUUUUGUCAUAAUACAGGCAAUGAAAUAAUUACAACAAUUGCACCUCUCACAUUUAUUACUAGACAGCUCCUCCGUGGGUGUCAAAGAAGUCGGCUCAUACCACAAUUAAGAACAGCCAGUGAAAGCUGGAAAACAUCUGAGCACACUGCCCCCUGAUAGCACAUCUAUUUACUUUCUCUCCACAUCUGACAGCCUUUGAAGACUUGUAAAUUUCCCUAUUAAAUUUCUGUUGUAAUUAAUGAAACAUUGUAAUUAAGUGGGUAUAAACAACGAGAUAUGGUUUGAUAUGGAAACAAGAAAAUUAUAUUUGCAUUUAUGUGCAAUUAUUUUUCUCUUCUCACUGUGGUUUCUCCUCCAUGUUACAGCUCAGUGGUUUAUGUGUUUUUUUCUUUCUUUUUACAUCUCUCAGAAAAUAUUAAAAAUAUUAUGUGGGGGGAAAAAAAUGUUUCAAACCUCAUUACAGUAAUCAGCAAGGCAGAGUUUUGGACAAUUUUCCCAACAAAUGAUUUGCAUAAUUCAAUUUCUAGUGCACUAUCAAAACCCAGUAUGUGUUUAAUGCCUUAGCACAAAUAGUAAUACGUCUACGAUACUGAAACAAAAUUAUGUUUUACCCCCUUUUGGCCUCCCAGCUGUUUCCACAGAGUUUGUGAGAGAGGAGCUUAAUACUGAACUGCUGCUGAUAAUUUCUUGUUACAAUAAACUCAUUUUAACAAAGAUAAUUGUUGUGGUUUUCAGUUCCUUCCAAACUAACUUGUCCGUCUUGAAAAUGUUUAUCAUUUGGCACUAAUCUGUUCCAGCCUGAGCAGGAUGAGUCAUUAUUUAUAUCCAAUCCUAAUCUUUGUUUACAGUUUACUGACCAAAUACUGCAGUAACAUCUAUUUAGAAAAUAACUAGUCUCAAUUUCACUUCUUCCUUGUUAAGUGGGGGAUUAUGCAUUUUUUCAGACUCUAUAUUUCCUUUCUGAUACCUCUUUCAUAUCUUAACAUGAUUUCCAGAUUUUAAAAAAGUCUUAAAUUUCUCACAGAGGUGUAUUAGAAUAUCAUUAUUCCAGCCUCUGUUUAAAAUGCUUUUGUUUAGCUGCUGUCUCUUUAAGGUCCCCCCUCCACAAGCCCACUUUCUUCUAAUUGGCCACCUCUCCAGAGGCUUUAUAGAAGCCAGUCGAGGGCAGAGCUCAAUGUUUUGGCCCCACUCUCUCGAUUGUGGUCAAUCAGUCAAGCAGUGCUACCCUGCUCGGCUGUGGUUGUCAACUGAAACCCUUAGAGCAUAGAUGCAUUUUCGCGCUUUUGUCCAAGAUUACAGUGGUUUACAUCUAGAAUUGUGACAAAGCGCUACCUUAUGAUUUAAAACUUGGUACAAACUUUGUACCUUUGCAUUUUUUGUUGUAAAUUUGUUUGGCAUCCAAAAGACUUGAUUCAUUGCAUAUCAACAUUAGUUUUAAGAAUUAAACAAUUGUUUUUCUCAAAGCUAUAUUUGGCAUUCAGGUUAAACAGAAAGCACCAAUAGUCCAUUGAAAUGUCCCAUUCAAUCCAUGUGCAGAAACAUUUCUAGAUACUAAAAGUCAUUCUGUUGUCCUCUGAGCAGGUGGAGUUGUAGAGGAUUUAUGACCGCUUUACACAAAAGUGGGACAGUUGCUUUUUAGCAGUGUGAAAAUGAAGAGUAUAUGUGUAGAUGCACAUGGUGAAUAUACAUGUUAAUAGGACUGUGUUAAUUGUGGCUGGUUUGAUUUUGCAUGUUAGCCUCAUAUGCUGCAGAUGAGACAUGUGAAGAUGAGGCUUUGUAAAGUAAAAGUAUUGACCUUAAUCCGAGUAGCUCUUGGAUUGUCUAUAAUUAAAGAAUUAGUCAGUGAUAGUUUGAUAAUAAUUGGGUCAGGACAUCUCCAAAAGUGCAGUUCAUGUGGGGUGUUACUGCUUUGCAGUCUUACCCAUCAAAAGUAGUCCAAAGAAGAAAACUAGUGACCAAGGCUCAUGAAGAGAACCCUGCAAGUAUUAGAACUGGACCAUGGAACAAUGGAAGAAAGUGAGAAUGUAAACCCUUUCAGACUUAUGAGGGAUGUGCUGGAAAACCAAGUCUGAUCCACUGAGGUGCCAGAUACCAAAGCAGGCCUUCAACAAUCUAAUCAGGUCAGGGCUAUUUUGAUCUUGAUCUGAUGACAAGGAGGCCUUCACAAUAUGAGACAGAUGGCUUAUAUAUAAUGGCUGAUCAGUGUAUAUUCAUGUAAAUCAUGUGCAUAAUGACUGGAUGUUUGAUAUAGGGUAUAGGCUUUGAUGUCAUCAUGUCUGUACUGAAAUAACUUUAGUCAUAUUAAAGGCAGAAAGAUAAUAAGAACAGGUGAGGUCUGAUUGGUUAACGAGAAAGUUAAAGGCAUGUUUGAUGAUUGGAGAGAUUGGUAAUUAUUAUGAAUCUUGUUUAUAUGGCCAUCGUGGUCCUAUAGUGUGAUCUCCACAAAGUGAAGAGAAAAAGAAUGGAAAAAAUCCAUUCAUCCUAGCAGAUGCAGGGCUACAAAAACAUUGACCAAUGGGAGCCGUCCGUCCCGGACAGCUCCCAUUGGUAAAUCUCCUGCUCCGCCUCUCCAUCCAAUCACCUCACUGUAUUCAACACACCCCUCUCCCAUAGUUCCGACUCGUCCCCUCCCACUCUCGCGGCCGUCCUACGAGCUCUGAGCAGCUAAAAGUAGCACAGCAGCUUAGCUACAGGAGCUGUGAUGGAGAAGGACGCAAAAAAGGAAAAAAAAAAAACACUUCCGCUUGCCCCACCGCCAAAAGUGCUAAGAAAACGCAAGCCGUCAUAAAAAAAGGCGAAGAGAAAAUGUGACCAAGCGAGGAAUCUAACUCUAAUAAACAUCGGGUCAUCCUUCGAGCGGUGAAGAAAACAGAUGCUGAGACAGCAGAGUUUUUGUUGAACAGGUAAUUUUUGCCUUUUAUCGUGGCACAUUUACAUAAAUAACUCUUAUUAGUCGCUGCAAUGUCAACAGGGUAGCUGUCCAGGCAGCAGCAGACGGUGCUCGCUAGCAGAGCUGGCGUUUCCUGCCGCUUAGGCCUGUCACGAUAACAAAUUUUGCUGGACGAUAAUUGUGCUACAAAUUAUCGCCGAUAAACGAUAUUAUUGACACCGUUUUUUAAAUCAUAGAUAAUUAUAUGAAAUGGCAUAAUAAUGCGAGUACACCGUGUCAAAAGUGAUAAACUUUAAUUUCACCCACGACGAAGACGUAACGUUGACGAGCUAAACAUAAGUCGGAGAUGACUAAAAUGUGACGAGACGAAAGUGCGUUUACGUUGAUGGGACGACACGAAAAUGACGAACAGAGUUGCAAAACUCAGUCAGUUAAACGCUAAACAUAUAGGAGCAGCUUCAGUCCGCUCUGACAGCUCUCAUCAGCCUGCUGUGCUCCUCCAACACACAGACACACGCGCGCGCACACACACGCGGAGUUUUGUGGUUGACGAUAACAAAACUGGUUUAAAACCGAAAUAUUCCCACACUUGGGCUGUUGCGUUCGGUUUAGACACCAAAGCUGUCGUGUUCAUUCUGUUUGCUUGCUUUUCACUCACGACGCUCACUUGCAGCACUGUAUCCAAAAGUCUGUGUCUGUGUGCCUGUGCGCGCCUACGUGUACCUGCGCGCGCGCCCCCUCGUAACAAAGACACUGAAUGACUGACAGGAGGGUUCACUAACUCCGUUCAUUCCGCUAUACAGCCAACGCCCCCAGGUGCCGAGAAAAAUGCGCAGAGUGAGUCCUCUUCUCUCAUCCAGCGUGUUUGGUAGCGAGAGAGGAGGAAAACAAACGCACGUAAAUUAUCGAGGCUGGCAAAAUGACCGACCUCGUUUUUAUUUAUCGAGCGAUAAGGCGAUUUAUUGAUUAUCGCGACAGGCCUACUGCCGCUAGUCACCAGCAAUCCGACAUGGUGAAUUGCAGUUGCAGCUAGCGUAGGAUCUUCUGCCGGCCAGCUUCUUGCUCUACAAGAUGGGGUGUGUUGUGGGGAGGGUGAUAUAGGUUCGGUGGGGGUUAUCGUGGAGCACAGAGGGGAGAGGUUUGUGUGUGUGUGUGUGUGUGUGUGUGUGUGUGUGGGGGGGGGGGGUUCAGUUUUUUUCAGCUACUUCUCAGAUCGUCAACCAUGCCUUUAAUCGGUAUUUUUACCUUAAACUUACACAAAAACCCAAGUAAGUACACACGAUUCAUGGUAACACCAGUAAUCUUUUACAGAGCCAUUCAUAAAAACAUUGUCAAAAAUAUACUAUCUUUUCUCUUUAAUUAAUCCUUUGCAGCAGGAAUAAAAAAAUACAUAAACAUUGUAAUUGCAGCACGACCUGCCAAGAUCACCCAAUCUGUUUGAGCUCCUGUGCCCUGCAGCCUGUAACAUCCUCAAAUAUGUUUAGUUUUUCAUAUAACGUCUUCCCCGUUUUAUCCUCUCACCACUGCUGCUCAGCUUCAACUCCAGUGUUGCUUCAUUACUGACGACCCACUGGCAGUUGAGGAUUAAAGUCCUACUGGUGACACGCGUGUGUGUCUCAGAGCAUGUUUGUGCAUUCAUAUCAUCAAUGAAGUGUUUGUGCGUGUAUAUGUCUGUGCCUGCGUUCACACAAGCACUAAUAGUGUGGAGGAUAAGGCAGUUAUUGAUCCAAGACAGACACAGUAUUAACUGGGAUAACUUGUAAAGUCCUGUCAUCAUAACUGUCUGAGACAGCUGUCCAACUUAAUGAAAGCACUUCCCAAAUGUCAAGUGGUUAACACCAGGCUGUAGGGAAGCCAUAACAAAACACCCCCACACACACAAAGAAAUACAAACACACACACAUUCACACUAAGAGCCAUUACAGUAAUUGUCAGCCACAAAUAUUCAUCACACACAAAUCUCUGGCAGGUUGCCUCUUGAUAAAAAAAGAGUUAUUAAGUCAUCAACGAAUCUGCAGACAAAUGCACACACUAAAACACUUAAAACCAUUUGGCUGUAGAUCCUCUGCCUAAAAUGAAACAUGCAAACACACACAUAUAUAUAUGCAUACACAUAUUUAUCCCCAAGACAACCGAUUCUACUCAGUUUGAGGUUUUUGACUCAUGCACAGAAUGCACUGAAUGUCAUUCCCUCCCAUCAUGCAAACUACUAAUGAUGAUACUUGCAGCUUCUUCAGUACAGUGUUUCCUAGAUAUAUAUCAUUACUCGUAAUUACGUGUACUUACUGUACACAUAAGAAGAAGAAACACCUCCAUUUUUUUUCCUUGUCAUGUUAAGUGCAUUGUCGCAGCAUUGUGAAUCCUCGUGAAUCAGACAUAGUCACAGGAGCUACAACUUACUAACAAUGACGGCGGAGAUUUCACAAUGUAAUCUGUAAAGAGAGCGAGUUGGGUUUACAAGAGCUGGUAUAUCCUGGCUUUUGAAUGGUUUUGUUGCUUUACAGAUAAAAACUUGCAAAAAAAAUGCAAACUGAAUAAUUAUCAUAACAGUCCAAAUUUAAGACAUUAGUCACCUUUCAUUACAUGUGAUUAAAUGUCUAAUCUUCUCGUAUUAGAAGUCCACACUCUUUCAUGCCAGCCAGUGUAAUGUCAACUGAGCAGUAGAGUGCCUGAUUUUCUACUUUUACCCGAAUGCCACUUGUCACAGAGGGAAUUGAUCGAUACAGAAGAAAAGAGAAAACAGCUGGACCUGUUUGCUGUCAGGCUGUUAAGUUUGCUCAACAAAACACAACAACAGGUUUUUGUCUUUUUGUCAAAGAUGAGCAGGAACAUCACUGAACUAAAGUUUCUUGCUCUCUGGCUGAAAAGGAGGGAGAUUAACAAUCAACCAGAGCGUAACAUGCAGUGAAUCACAGAGCAUGCUUAUAAUCAGCGUUACAGUCUCCCACAAGCUGAUCAGGAUGAAGUUGUUACAGAUGUGCACCACACUGAUAGACAGCUCUGCUUCCCCUCUCUGUCAGUACAGUAGUGUGGCAUUGAGGUGCUGUCACCUAGCACAUCAUCAAAGAAUUAAUUUAUUUCAGUUUUUAAAAGUUCUUCCUGGAUUGUUUGGAUGGAAUAUUCAAAUGUAAUUUUUUGGUUGGACUACUGAUGUAAAGACAUACAGAUUUAUCAAUAAAUCAAUUCAUCAAACUUUAUUUUUAAAGCACUUUUCAUACAUAGAAUGUAGCACAAAGUGCUGUCCAUUCGAGCCAGAUAUUAAAAACAAUGAAAUAAAAUAAAUAAGAAUACAAAUACCAAACCCCAACCAUCCUCCCAGCCCCAUUUAACACAUACAGCACUCACACACACACAGAUGCAUACACAAAAGACCAGGUGAGGACUCUUUAACUUCCCACAGAUGACUGAGGAAACACUAUCUUGAGUUUAAAAAAAUAGAGGAAACACUGGAUCUAGGACUAAAGCGAUAAAAUCUUAAUAAAAUAUAAUAAAGGUGAUAAAGCGUUAAAAGUUUAUUAAAUAAAACAGUCUUAAAAACAUACAAUAACAGAAAGUAAAUUUAAAAAGAGUUAAUAAAACACAAAAUAGUUACUCUGGGACAAAAAUAGGGUAAAAUCACAUAAUACAGAUUAAAAGAGUAAAACAAAAUUCAACUAAAAGCCAGACUCAAAAGGUAGGUCUUGAGUUUACUUUUAAAAAUAUUAACAGUAUACAGUUUAUAGAUAUUAAACACUUAUUUUACCUCAGUACAUCACAUACCAACUAUUCAGAAACCAAUGUUUGUUUCUGAUCUGUUUUGAGGAACCCUCUCAGUGACUGUUUUAAAGGCUGUGUUUUCUCCAUCAUUAAGCUCCGGUGAUGUUCAGAGUCUGUUGUGUUUACAGUGAUAUUUGCAGGCUGCUGUUACAUAUCCUCACUCAUCAUUUCUUUGAUGUUGUUCCUCUCUCCUCUGGGACAACACUUAGCAUGGUAGAUUUGGAAAUACGUCCAAUUCAGCCAGGGACCAAGGAGACAUCUGUUAAGAUCCUUGGGAUCUGGGGAGAGUUUCCCACUGUGAAUGUCAGUGCUCUUUUCUAAAUUGUUUGGUAUAAUUACGUUUUUGUCACCAGGUGGUGACAGCAGUUUUGAAUUUUCAAACAAGUUGAAGCGCACAAAUAAGUUUCCUCCUACUUGAAUGGCCCAGAUAUUUAAUUCCGAGCAUACUUUGACCCCUGCUACUCUAAAAUAUAACAGCGCUGUGUUGUUCUCACAACUCAUUAUUUUACUCUGUUUCAAAGAGAAUUGAAAAUUAACUGCAGAGCUCCAUUGAAAGAACAUCAAACACUUGCUGUGCAGUGUGAUUACAAAUUAUCUACUUUCAAUUCUCUACCUCACACCUGCAAAUUUAUCUUUUCCUUACAUUCCUUAUAGCCGACACAUUACGCGCCUCUGUACUCAGGUGUCAUGUCGGAUAGGGAAACUUGCAUUUGGGCAAUCAAAAAGGGGCCCAGUCAUUUCCUGAGAAACUCAUUUACUGUGAUCACUCUUCCAUUGCUUCCUGCUCUUUGCUUCCACACAUGUUUACACAAUUUGUUAGAGCACUUGGUCCAUCACAAUUAGGAGAGGAAAGGAAAACCCUGCUCUGACCCCCCCGGGCGUGGUGUGUGUGUGUGUGUGUGUGAAAAAAAGAAAUGGCAGGCAAAUUAAAUGAUAUCAUGGCUUUUUAUAAUUAUUAUUAUUGUUCUCACUGUCGUAUUCAAAACAUAUUUUUCUUUUAUACAUAAUGCAACUGUUGCUUUUUUCCUUUUCUUUUUGCUUUGAAAGCGCCUGUUUUUUGUUAAUUGCCUUGGCAUCACUCAAGCACAGCCUUGCCAAUAAAGCACCUUGAAAUUGAAAAGUGAAUUGGAACUGAAUAGAGGGAGGAGAUUCUCUCUCCCUUUCUUUCCCUUUUCCUGCAGCUGGUAAGGCAGGAUUAGGCUUGGCACAGAAAGAGACAAAAGGGAGCACGCAUUUGUGGAUGUGUAUUCAAGUGUGUGCAUGUGUCUGUGUGUGUAGAUGAGUGCCUGAGUGCUCGCACUGUCCUGGAGUCAGGGCAGCAAGGUUUAUAGGGGACUCAAUUAGUUCAGCCCAAACACAAAUCCUGAAUCUUCCACAUUCCAGGUCUUUCCAGGAUAUGUCGUGGAAAACACCAAAGCUCUGCUUGUGACUCGGAAAACCUCAAAGUCCUUCCCCUGGCCCGCUUAUCCCUGAGAAUCCCCGCACAGAGGGGGACUAAACGGAUCACAGUUGGAAUCCCACGAUCAGCCGCUGCUCUGGGUUUUCAGAUGUCGCUCUAGUUUGUUUGAGUGCAGGUGAUUUGGCCCCAGGUCUGCUGUUGCAUGUUUUAUUUUUGUUGUGCUUGCAGAAAUCAUGAGGCAAUCAUUUCUUUGUUGAGUAAGCGGAAAGUUAUGUCAUUAAACUGCUCUAAACCUGGUCAUGGUUUUGUUUUAACCCGCAAUACUUGACUUUUUUUUUUUUGUCCAACUAGUCCGUCUAAAUACACUUCUGAGGGCAGUAUCAGUACCUCUGAUAAGCUUUGAUUAGUCAAGUGUGAGGAGCAGAGGUUGAAGAAGAGCAAUCUAUCUGACAGACUCACUGAUAGAGGACAGGAAGAUCCAGAUCCACAUUAACAAGCUGGUUGAUAAAAUCAGACCAUACUGUGUCUGAAUUGAUGUAGCUUCUUACUAUUUAAAGGGAUAUUCCAGCAUAAAAUUAAUUUAGAGUCAAACACACCGUAACACCGAGUUAGACACCCCCUUAAGAGAUGAAUGUUGCGGACUGCUUGCUUCUCUAGUUAUACCAACUUUAGUAACGACCGCACAAUAACAAUACACAACGGUCUGAGGAGCCAUUAACAAACCUCGACCAAAACACCACUCUAUAGCCACAAAUAAUGCUUAGAACAGCACCUAACUUCAUCAACAGUACAUAUAGGGUCCCAGCCACAGUACUAGCCACCAAACGUCUUUUUAACUUUGUCUAAUUUCUUUAUUAAAGAGACUUUUUCUGCCUUAGCAUCUUGGUCUGAUUGCAUUUCCAAAUGUCCAAAGACAUGACUUUAAGUGACUUUACAACACUAAACCACAAGUUCUCUCAUACUCUUCAAAACCUGCCUACAAAUUCAGGAUUGAUUAGAAAAUAUCCUUUGUUGGUUAAAUGAUUCUAUCAAAAAAAAAAUUUACAUAUGGAUACCCCUUAUACAUUAUUAGUUACUUGUCUUGAAUCAUACUGAGAUAGGGGUAAAAGUCAUUAAACAAGGAAGAUUUUUACUAUGCACUUCCAGAAAGAUGUCGGAAAAAAAUUUGAAAAUAAAGACAAAUUUUUAAGAACAACACCUAUAUAGCAUGUCUCCAAAUCUCUGUGUAUGUGGUGUCAGUAAUGUGCUCAUGUUGCUGAGGGUUUUUUUGCCACUGCACUCAAUGAGAGCAGUCUCUUUUUUUUUACCUCCUCCUCUCCCUCCCUCUUGUGUGUACUUUCCCCAUCUGUAAAUGCAAUUUCGUUGUGCACAGUUGCAAUGACAAUAAAGACCAUACCAUACCAUACCAUACCAUAGAUUGAAAAUAAAGUCAGCAUGACAAAAAAAAAAAUACAUUUAAUUUCAAGAGUAAAGUCAGUGGUUGCUGAGUGGUGAGGACACCCUAAUAUAAGAAAAAUACCACAAGGUUGGAAUGCUCAGUUACUGGCCAAACACCAGAGCACUGCUUUGUGUCAGUUUGUGAAUAAAAAGAUAAUGUGUUAUCAAAAAAAAAAAACAUUAGACGUGAAGAGAUGCAACAUGAAAUCUGCUCCUGCGCUGUCUAUCAAGGUUUAAAGCAGCACAAAACACUCAAUAAGCUUAUACCAACAAGGCCAAUACCUCUCAUUCACAAGCUCCGUUCCCCUUCCUCCUUUUUUGUUGCGAACUCGUCUUCCUCUCUCAACCUAUGUCUUGCUUCGACCUGUCAGGUCACCUGAACAGAAGGCCAUGCUAACCUUUUUUAUCCUUUGUCCUCUGCAGCAUGUUGACCUGCAUGCUACCCUGGCUUAUAACUCUUGUUGACUGUGCACUUGAUUACUUUGUACCGGUUCAGAUUAUUCUGGUUCCUUUGUUAAAAUACUGACUUUGCACAUCAAUUUGAUUCAUAGGAAUAGCCUUAUUUAUUUAAAAGUGUUUCUUUUUUUUUCUUUCUUUUUUUUGCUUGCCUUUAGGCUGCAAAUCAUCUCUGUGCCGACUGACAUCAAUAAAGUAAGUGAAACAUUUGAAAGAAAUAAAACGUGGAGAAGAUUUAAGGUAUACCCAGCUACCAAAAUUCACUCUUUUACAUUCUCUGUUGUUCUCCGUUGGCCCAAAGUGCCAACAUGCAGUGAAACGCAUCAAAUGAAGGAGAAGAACUGGGUAUAGACUGUGUGUGGUCUGUGAUCAUUUACACACUGCAGCGUGUCUUACUGUGAUAAGUUGUGUGGGAAAAUGUAUAGAAUGGUUAUAUUAAUGGUUUAUACUAAGCAUGGAUAUUUGUUAGGUCAGAUGCAGUUUAUCUGUAAGGUCAGUUGAUGUUUAUCAGGAACAUCAGAUUGGGUUUUCCUCUAUUUGUUUAUGUCACAUUGACUCCAAAACACUGGGAAAUAUGACAGUGCUGGCUGAUAUCCAGUCUCCUGGUGAUCGGGCUGGGAAAGAGACUCACACUUUGUAAUGCACACAUAUUGUUUUACGUUUACAAACACAUUCACUAGCAUUAGAGUGAGGGAAAGGAGAGUGAGGGGCUCCUACAAGGACUUCAGUUAGGACCUUGUUGUCAGAUGUACUGAAUUCUAUGUCUGUAUAACGCAGUCGCCCAGGCUGCUCUUCAUAUCUUGUUCUGUCUCCUAAACCUUAAUUUGCUGCAUCCUUUACACAUUUACCAUAACAGUUGUAAUGUUAAAAUGUCUAGAUUAUCAUUGUCAUUGUCUUAAAUCGGCUUCAGCCAUUCUUCUCCUUUUUUCAUCACAUGGAUUUCAUUGAACAAAACACUAAUUACUGUCUCAGCAGACUGAAAGGUUUAAAAAAAAGAAAGACAGAAAAUACCAGGGACAUUUUUCUUCACAAAGUGCAAAAUAAUAAUUUAAAAAAUCCUCCUCUCAUUUAUUUUUCUAAACUUUGGUAGUGCUCCCCCAUAAGGUUCAGACCAAUAGUGUGGUAUAUCACACUGGCAAUUCAUUUUUAGGUGCUACUCUAUACUCCACCAAAAGACUAACUAGAUGCCUCCAAGUGCCACUCCUCUGAGUGGAAUUUCCCAAGUGCUUUUAAAUCCAUUGACAGAGUAGAUAUAAAAAUAAACUUCAACAGCAAUUUUGGAUGAAGGCAUAAUAAGGGUCUGUGUCAGGAGAGUAUUUGCGAUACAGCUGGUUCAGAAUUGUUGGAUAUGAAGCAUCGGUUUAGCUUCGCCUACCAAGGGUGCAGACUGGAUGCAAAUAGCCUUGAUGCAUGAUGGCGUGUACUCGACCUUGGACCAACUGUAAUAAAUAAUAAACAAGAAACAAGAAAACGCCUGCAUAGAUGUCAGGCUUACUGUUUACUAUAAACAGCAGAACAAUUAUAGUUUAACUUUCAUUGGUUAAAUUACACUUCAGUUAUCUGCUCUCCUGACAACAGCCUGCCUGGUGCAUGUUGACUGCUGUAUGGCGGUCUGGUGUUUGACACAACCCAGGAACACAAAAAACAAAUCGGCUCCGCUGGCCACUUACAGUGGUGAGAAUGCAGGGGCUAUAGUAUUUGCUGCUGUGGUUGUUGGGUUGACCCCGUUGCGUCAUGUAUACCCUCAUUUUCUACUCCUCACAUUUCCUGCUUUCUGGCCCACAUUACACCGGCUUUAGAAUCAUUGCAUUGGCUCCACGUCUGUUUUAGGGUUUUUUUUUUUUACUUGUUUUUAAAUGUCUUAAUGGUCUUGGGCCUUCUUAUCUUUCAGAACUGCUUAUACCUUAUGAACCCUCCACGGACCCUGCGCUCCUCUGGCAGAGGUUUCCUAGUCAUUCCAAAAGUCAGGACACACACUCACGCCGAGGCGUCUUUCCAGUAUUAUGGCCCCCGCCUGUGGAACAGCCUGCAAGAGGACCUCAGGGCCACAGAGAACAUUCAAGUUUUUAAGAACAGGCUCAAGACCCA